Non-coding RNA from Clavulina sp. PMI_390, 86 nucleotides. The record is from the annotation of a GenBank genome assembly. Lineage: Eukaryota; Fungi; Basidiomycota; Agaricomycetes; Cantharellales; Hydnaceae.
GGUUUCGUAGUGUAGCGGUUAUCACUGCGGAUUCUGAUGUCUUGACUCACCUUCCGCCAACCCCGGUUCGAUUCCGGGCGAGACCU